UUAUUUCUUAAUAACUAAAAAUAUGGUAUAAUACUCUUAAUAAAUGCAGUAAUACAGGGGCUUUUCAAGACUGAAGUCUAGCUGAGACAAAUAGUGCGAUUACGAAAUUUUUUAGACAAAAAUAGUCUACGAG
Molecule: unclassified non-coding RNA, 133 nt
Filed under: Vector pJH1
Also listed under: 3 other names
Source: RNAcentral